RNAcentral lists this ribosomal RNA (169 nucleotides) under uncultured marine bacterium. RNAcentral's name for it is "partial 16S ribosomal RNA". It matches the Rfam family "Bacterial small subunit ribosomal RNA", at positions 338 to 524 of the family's 1533-position model. The record is from RNAcentral.
CCUACGGGAGGCAGCAGUGGGGAAUCUUAGACAAUGGGCGCAAGCCUGAUCUAGCCAUGCCGCGUGAGUGAUGAAGGCCUUAGGGUCGUAAAGCUCUUUCGCCUGUGAUGAUAAUGACAGUAGCAGGUAAAGAAACCCCGGCUAACUCCGUGCCAGCAGCCGCGGUAAU